AUUGAACGCUGGCGGCAUGCUUUACACAUGCAAGUCGAACGGUAACAGGUUAAGCUGACGAGUGGCGAACGGGUGAGUAAUGCAUCGGAACGUGCCCGGUCGUGGGGGAUAACGCAGCGGAAGCUGCGCUAAUACCGCAUACGAUCUAAGGAUGAAAGCGGGGGACCGUAAGGCCUCGCGCGAUCGGAGCGGCCGAUGUCAGAUUAGGUAGUUGGUGGGGUAAAGGCUCACCAAGCCAACGAUCUGUAGCUGGUCUGAGAGGACGACCAGCCACACUGGGACUGAGACACGGCCCAGACUCCUACGGGAGGCAGCAGUGGGGAAUUCUGGACAAUGGGCGAAAGCCUGAUCCAGCAAUGCCGCGUGCAGGAAGAAGGCCUUCGGGUUGUAAACUGCUUUUGUACGGAGCGAAAAGGUCUCCUCUAAUACAGGGGGCUCAUGACGGUACCGUAAGAAUAAGCACCGGCUAACUACGUGCCAGCCGCCGCCGUAA
RNAcentral lists this ribosomal RNA (493 nucleotides) under uncultured bacterium. RNAcentral describes it as "partial 16S ribosomal RNA". It matches the Rfam family "Bacterial small subunit ribosomal RNA", at positions 29 to 523 of the family's 1533-position model. The record is from RNAcentral.